RNAcentral lists this transfer RNA (73 nucleotides) under archaeon. RNAcentral describes it as "tRNA-Lys". It matches the Rfam family "tRNA". Rfam says of the family: Transfer RNA (tRNA) molecules are approximately 80 nucleotides in length. Their secondary structure includes four short double-helical elements and three loops (D, anti-codon, and T loops). Further hydrogen bonds mediate the characteristic L-shaped molecular structure. tRNAs have two regions of fundamental functional importance: the anti-codon, which is responsible for specific mRNA codon recognition, and the 3' end, to which the tRNAs corresponding amino acid is attached (by aminoacyl-tRNA synthetases). tRNAs cope with the degeneracy of the genetic code in two manners: having more than one tRNA (with a specific anti-codon) for a particular amino acid; and 'wobble' base-pairing, i.e. permitting non-standard base-pairing at the 3rd anti-codon position. The record is from RNAcentral.
GGGUCUGUAGCUCAGUCGGUAGAGCACUGGCCUUUUAAGCCAGGUGUCCAGGGUUCGAGUCCCUGCAGACCCA